CCUACGGGUGGCAGCAGUGGGGAAUAUUGCACAAUGGGGGAAACCCUGAUGCAGCGACGCCGCGUGAGUGAAGAAGUACUUCGGUAUGUAAAGCUCUAUCAGCAGGGAAGAAAAUGACGGUACCUGACUAAGAAGCCCCGGCUAACUACGUUCCAGCAGCCGCGGUAAUACGUAGGGGGCAAGCGUUAUCCGGAUUUACUGGGUGUAAGGGGUGCGUAGCCGGGAAUGCAAGUCAGAUGUGAAAGCCCGGGGCCCAACCCCGGGACUGCAUUGGAAACUGUCUUUCUAGAGUGCCGGAGAGGCAAGGGGAAUUCCUGGUGUAGCGGUGAAAUGCGUAGAUAUCAGGAGGAACACCAGUGGCGAAGGCGGCUUGCUGGACGAUAACUGACGUUGAGGCUCGAAAGCGUGGGGAGCAAACAGGAUUAGAUACCCCAGUAGUC
This 440-nucleotide ribosomal RNA is filed under the name uncultured bacterium. Its description in RNAcentral is "partial 16S ribosomal RNA". It matches the Rfam family "Bacterial small subunit ribosomal RNA", at positions 338 to 795 of the family's 1533-position model. The record is from RNAcentral.